CCUGGGGAUGGAAGAGAGAAGAGAAAGUCAAUAAGGAAUCAAUGGCCAAUCAAAUCAAUGCAUGUGAUGUAAAAUGAGAUGUGUAAUAAAGGGAGACUUAGUGAUUUUAGCCCUUUAUCUACUUCCUCAGAGUCAGAUGACCUCGUGCAGUGGAGGCUGAAGAGGGGAGGACGGCAACAUCAUAAUGGCUGGAACUGAGCGAAUGUAAUGACAUCAAACACAUGGAAACAACGGGUUUGAUGUUGUUGAUACCUUUCCACUCCAGCCAUUACCACGUGCCCAUCCUCCACAAUUACGGUGCCGCCACCACCCCCAAAAUGAACUCAUGGAUACCAUUGUUAUGUCUCCGUGUCCAGUAUGAAGGAAGUUAGAGCUAGUUUCGUGAGCCAAUGCUAACUAGCGUUAGCACAAUGACUGGGAGUCUAUGGGUAUCUGCUAGCAUGCUAGAUAAAAUCCCAAAGUAUCCCUAUAACAGUGGUUAUUGAGGGUGUGUACACUUCAAACAGCUAACGAUGUGGGUAACCGUUGUGGCGUGUGGUAACAACAAAGCAACAGUACAUAAGGGCUAGAGCAGCAAAUCUUUUGUUUCAUCAGAAGAAACAUCACUCCUUCAAGCAGAAUCAUGUCAUCAUAGAGGUCUAAAGUAGUGCACUACAUAGGGAAUGGACAUAACCCCCUCAGAAGGUUGGAACUAUUACAGCUGCACCAUCUUGACUUGUUGCAUCACUGCUUGGUAUGGCAACUGCACCGCCCUCAAUCGCAUGGUGCUACAGAGGUUGGUAUGGCAACUACACCGCCCUCAAUCGCAUGGCGCUACAGAGGUUGGUGUGGACAGCCCAGUACAUCACUGCUUGGUAUGGCAACUACACCGCCCUCAAUCGCAUGGUGCUACAGAGGUUGGUGUGGACAGCCCAGUACAUCACUGGUUGGUAUGGCAACUACACCGCCCUCAAUCGCAUGGUGCUACAGAGGUUGGUGUGGACAGCCCAGUACAUCACUGCUUGGUAUGGCAACUACACCGCCCUCAAUCGCAUGGUGCUACAGAGGUUGGUGUGGACAGCCCAGUACAUCACUGCUUGGUAUGGCAACUACACCGCCCUCAAUCGCAUGGUGCUACAGAGGUUGGUGUGGACAGCCCAGUACAUCACUGCUUGGUAUGGCAACUACACCGCCCUCAAUCGCAUGGUGCUACAGAGGUUGGUAUGGCAACUACACCGCCCUCAAUCGCAUGGUGCUACAGAGGUUGGUGUGGACAGCCCAGUACAUCACUGCUUGGUAUGGCAACUACACCGCCCUCAAUCGCAUGGUGCUACAGAGGUUGGUGUGGACAGCCCAGUACAUCACUGGUUGGUAUGGCAACUACACCGCCCUCAAUCGCAUGGUGCUACAGAGGUUGGUGUGGACAGCCCAGUAUAUCACUGCUUGGUAUGGCAACU
Molecule: non-coding RNA, 1436 nt
Organism: Oncorhynchus mykiss (rainbow trout)
Lineage: Eukaryota; Metazoa; Chordata; Actinopteri; Salmoniformes; Salmonidae
Source: RefSeq, a predicted model, not a curated record